Oncorhynchus tshawytscha (Chinook salmon) is the source of this 1467-nucleotide long non-coding RNA. The record is from Ensembl. Lineage: Eukaryota; Metazoa; Chordata; Actinopteri; Salmoniformes; Salmonidae.
AUGGGAUCGCCGUUCUUGAUUGGUGGUUAUUUUGAGAACUGUUUGCUCAGCCAAUGGGGCGCCCUGGUCUUACAGAUGUGGGAUCUUAAUUUGAGCCAGUUUCGUAUAGCAGGAAAAUAAUAAUUCAGCUGCAGGAAAUCUGCUGGUGAGCUGGGUUUUGAACCAAACACACACUCCUGUUCAUCCCGGUGGAGCAGCUCUACUGAUCCAGGGACCAGACUGGCUGCAGCAGAGUCCCAGGAUCCUGCCCACCUGCCAUGGUUGAAGACAAUCCUUUUCCCGCCUUCCGUUGCAGAGAUGCUCUCUUUCCUCCCCGUGUUUGACAAUCAGAGAGCCGAGACUCGUAAAGUCCCAUGACCUCCGAGGCUCCGUUGGACAUGUAACCCUGACUGUUUCCACUGUACUUAUGAACUACGACUUUAACUCUCCAACAGUCAACCAAUCAUCUCGCUGCCCCUGCCAGGUUCACUGACUGAAUGAUAAAUCCUAGACAACAAACUAGUCAGCCUAAAAACCAGAAGGACCAAUCAGAAAGGACCAUUGAGAGUGACCAAACAUAAUUUUUUUGUGUGUCGUUUUUUUAGAUAGUUUGUGAGCCCUUGAAAGACUAUGGGAGAGAGCAAAUCCUGAUGUGGGUUUGUUUACGUAGCCACAUACGGAUAGCAUUAGCAUGGUCCACAACAUGGACCUCAGAUCCACAUGGACCUUCUCAAUGUACCGUGCCAAAGGAACCACUCCCUGUCAGCAGAGAGACACUGAGAGGGGAACCGGGUUCCUAUUACUCUAGAACCCUCAAAGAGAACUCAGAGAAGUGUUCUGUGUAUGCUACCUUUCUCUGAAUGUUCUUAAGUCUGGAAACACUCCUGUCAUCCUAUCACUGGACAGCUCUCUUGGUUGACAGUGCUCCAGGUAGACGAUGUCCAUAGGAACUGAUCUAGGAUCAGUGCCCUUUCAAAAUCCUUAACUAUCAAGUGGGAAAACACAACUGACCUCAGACCAGUGUCUAGGGGCAACUUCUUCCCUCUCUGGGUGAAGGGUAUAAACGGUGACCAAACAAAACCCUCUGAGGAAAUCAAACUAGGAUCUGUUUAGAGGUUGUUUUUUCUCUUGUGUUUUUCUCUCCCCCUGCUGUACUUUGUUUGACUAACGAGUAUCAUGUUGUGUUUGUUUUUCUACAUCUGAAACAGAUUGAGUACUGUUCUCUUUGAGGUUUGUAUCAGUUGUGUGUUUCUGCUUGUGGGUGAUGUUUUAUUUAGUAGUGUAUUUAUUGACUAGUUUAAUUGCAACAUGCAUUGGAGUGGCAGUAUUUAGGUAUCCAUGUUGAAGUCAGCACUCCCCAAUCAUCAUUUUGGAAUCAGAGAUUGAGGAGUGCUGCUUUCAGGGGACGAGUUGUCUAUACAUAUCAGUUUACUAGUGAGGAUGUCGUGGUGUUUGAAGGUGACAUGAUCUCCGUUCUACUGAACCAGC